GAAAACGUGUUCUGUACCCUUUGCGUUGCUUCUCUAGGAAAACAAAAGUUAUUGUUUCCAAAUGCAGAGAGACAUCUGUGACAAUAUAUAUAUAUUGAUGGAGAAGGAGAAGAUGAAGGACGGAGUUCUGCCAGAAUCUCAAGAAAUGAUGGAACAGAAUGCUUUUCGAACUAUGCAAAUGGAGCUACACCAAAAGGGGGCAGUUCUGACAAAAGCCUGGUCUGAACUUUUUUCAUUUCUGACGAAGUACCAAGGUGAACUCUUAUUGAAAGAAAACUCAGUGGAAAUUGCUGCUAACGAGAUCGACAUUCGUAAGAAGCAGUUGGAAGAAUUGAAACCUGCAGUUGCUGCUGGAUCAGAAGAGAUUUCUAGACUGCAGGAUGAAGUACAUGCUAAAGAGAGACUGUUGAAUAAAACACACUCAGAACUCAAUGUGAAAGAACAAAUGUUACAGCAUGUGCAAUCAGAUUUGACUAGCAAUAUUGGACUUUUAGAUUCAACGCGGUUAGAACUUUUAGACAAACGUACCGAAUUGAUAAAACAUCAAGGCGAAUAUGAAAAAUUAAAAUCGACAUUGACCUUAAAAGAAGAACAAAUAGCUGUUAAAGACAGUUUAUUGAAGAAGUUACAGAAUCAACUGAUGCAGGAGAAUGCAGAACUCAAAGAGCAGUUGGAGAUGGAGCGAAGAGCACAUCAGGAGAAAGUUCGAUCUUUAGAGAUGGAGAGGAGGGCACAUGAAGCAACAAAGAAAACGCUUUUAAAUUCUUUUGGUAAAUCUGUGAUAGAGAUUCCUGAUUCCCCGCCGACGUUAGAUCUCUCGGUCGUCGAACAGACAGACUUUGCGCUGGCAAACAUAAUUUCCCAUACCGGUACUCAGUCACCUCCAAAUUCUGGGGCACGGACGAGAUUUGAACAUUCUGGGAGAAGCCAUUAUACAUGGGCCUUGACAUCUCAGGCCCAGUCAACCUCAUCUUCAUCAAAAUUUUCUGGUGCUUCUCGAAUGACAGAAUCUACCCCAACACAAGAACAAAAUUUUCAAACUUCUAACGAUUCCGCUACAUGUACCUCAGCAAGUGAGGUGUUCUUUCCGUUGAGUAUUUCACCACAAGACACAAAGAGUGGCAUAGACACCACACUGACUGAUACAGAAAUGACUGAACCUGUUCCUGUAUCAGGUCUGAUUCGCACAGACUUUGACAGUAAUGAACAGUUCAGUUCUAUCAGGAUGUCACCAGGGGGUGAUCUAGAGGAUGGAAAGACUGGCUGGCACAAGAUGAAUAGUUUUGUAUAAUGACAAGUACUUAGCAGCACCAUCCCAAUUUCCAUGCAAGAACCACUUCAGUAAGAGAGCAUAUCAAGAACGCUCAGCCAGAGAUGCUUCUCCUUGUGUAGUGAAGAGUGCUGAGCUAUGGAUUCACUUCACCUCACCACCAUCCCCAAUUUCUUGGAGGGGUUAAUUCAUAUUGUGAACUUAAUGAGGAUCAACAUUGAAGACGAAAACUGGGCUAAAAAGAACGACUGGCCAGGAUGGUUGCACCAAGCUGCACCUUAGACAACUGUUUGGCGAAGCAUCUCUGGAUCAUGAUUGAAGACUGGUUCCCUACAUGCAAGAGCAUGGUGAAAAACAAGGACUUAGGCUGGAAUAGUGGCCCGAGAUGUUAAGAGUGGACGACUGUCUGCAAAGUCAAGAGGUUCUCGCCUAUUUCAAGAUCCGGGGUAUGGAUGUCACCAAGGUUGCCCAAGAGAGACCCGGCACCAUAUUAUUGCAGGAAAAGACUACGCGGUUUCGUUACAUGGCUAAGUAUCCACUGACAAACUGUCAAAAAGGGAUGGCGACUUGUGUGCCUCCCAGCUCCCCUGUAAAUAUACAACUUGAAAUGAUUCCUUGCCUGUGAUCUAAGGCAAAGUGAAGGCUGCUGAAACAGAUGCCAGUCAUUGGACUUGUGACAGUGAUGGCUUGCCUGCACAGGAACAAAAAUUUGCGAUUGGCCAAUUUAAGGACAACCAAAAGUUGACACCACAUUGGCAUUGCAUUUACAGGCAUUGACAACAUCACUAGGCCACUGAGAGUGAGGACGAGUCUGUGACAGGAUGCCUUGCCACAUAUCUACAUGGUAGCUGCCUCACUUAGGCAAAUGUUGAGAGAAGAGCCACUCGAUGAAAGGAUGAAUGCGACCAGGAUGUCAAAGUUGGAGAAAAGUUUAUGACUGUGUAAUGGCUUACUGAUUUAUGAUAGGUCUAUUUCUGUUCCAGCAUGGUUUCAAGAUAUGAGGACAGGGACAAAACAAGAGAGGCCUGGUGAAACCAUCACUUAGCAGUGAUGCACUUCGAAGCUCACAUUUGGAACAUCUACUUUGGACGAGACCUAGGUUUGCACCAAGAACAUUUAAAAAAAAAUUCCCCCACCAAUAUUGCCAAUGCCACCAGCAAGAGUGUUUUGAAAAUUGUUUUUUGCCAAUGCUUUGGUUAAAGCGUUACAUCCUCAGAUGAUACAGAACAUGCAGGACAUGGAAAAUGUCAAGAAGAACUGUGUGGCACCGAAAAUACCUGAAGAUUGACUUUUUCAGCUAAGAAUGACUUUGUAAUUGUCGGCCAAAAGGUUUAGAUGUUGUAAAUUGCUCAGGACUAUGGCUUACUCUUAAGGUAGCCUUAAAAACAUUUCAUCCUGGAUGCAGAGAAAGACUGUAGUUGGAUUACUUGUUAAUUAGUUUGAGUGUUAGUUUUCACUGUUGAAGGAUACAUACACAGAUGUGAAUCGGCAGUGAAGCCACUGAAGGUCCUUCUCAAGCGAGGAACCAAUGUCUUGGUAUUGCAGCCAUUGUAGCUUAAGUAGUGUAGUGACCUAGAUGUGGUUGUAUCCAGUUAUUAAAAUCCAUGGGGUUAGUCGCAUUUAACCUUGAGACUGUUGGACUCGGUCCACUGAAUGUGAUAAAAUCAUCAUAGUUGAAUGUCUAGUUCUGCCAAUUAUUCUGGAAUUCGGUGAGGGGUGAAAACUAUAUUUCUUUCUAAAAAUACUGUAAAUGAGGUGUUUUACCUAAAUUGGAAUGCUAUGUUGAAAAUAAAAGUACUCAGAAAGUCCUUUCAGAAGGUAAAUAAUGCAAGUAGCUUUGAUGAUUGAUUGAUUUUUUUUUUAAUUGUUCAAAAUAGUGUUUUUGAAGAAAAUCACAUCCUGCUAUUGCGACAGAAAAAAUAAUGCGAUCUCAAAGAGUUAAAAUCCACAAGGUUAGUCAAUAAUCUUGAGUCUGUUGGACUAGGUCCACUGAACUUGAUAAAUAAUCUACACUGAUUUACAAAUGAAAUGAAGAGUCUGCAUUUUGGUGCAACUCCAUAUAACUGUUAGGUGAUUUCGCUCUGAACUUGUGAUACUCUGAUCGGUCUGAAAUAAUCAUUAUCCCGCCCCUCUGGGAAAAAUUUUCAGCCAGAUUGCACCAUUUCCUGUUGACCGUCUGAGAGAUGGCGAUGUCAGGGGUGCAUGACGGUGGUUAAACCUAUUGCGAAUGGGCAGCACAAUUGGGUGUAGGAUAUUCGGAAACCAUUGCACACUCCUGAAUCUGCGGUGGGUUGGUACCCCACGCUACGUAAGGAGUAGGUUGACGGGUAAGCCUUGGUCCACGUGAAUGGGUCGUGCCUUAAAAAUGAUGAGAAGUUGCGAAUUGACGCCCUGUGAAGUGUCCUUCGACCAGCUAGUGCUAAUCCGGUCACUGUCUCCAGGUCACCAUGCCUCGGUCAAUGAGCGGGCGAAGCACCCAAUGGCUCCGUCAGGAGUACAUCGUCAACUUCAGCCCGUAGUCAAACCGGUACAUGCACAAAUAUCUUAGUUGAGAGUGGGGGACAUCAGUAAAGUGCUUCUCAUCGGGGUAAUACAGUACCACUGUAUACAAUGACCCCAUUUUUUGUUGGAUUCAUUUCCACUGAGGAGUGGUCGAUAAUGAGAAUUUCAGGCCAGUCUGAUUAUCACCAGUACAGAGGGCAAUUAUCUAAUAGUUAUGUGGCUUUCCCUCAAACUGUAUACUCUUUCAUGUCAAUUGUAAAUUAGUGUUGCUUGGUAGUGUUCAGGGUCUUUUUGUCGAACAGGCACAUUUGCAUACCAGUAGUUAUGUGCAAACAUCAUUUUUGCUUUGAAGCAAUAUCGUUGCUACACUCCUAAAGCAGUGGCAGUGUUCAGGUCUUGUCUGCCUCGCUGACAUAUCUGCAUACCAGUAGUCAUGUGCAGACUUAGCUCUUUCUUUGGAGCAGUACAGUUGUAAGAUAAAUCCUGUUUGUAAUUUUAUAAAUUAGUUACUCAUCAAGGGCUUACGAAGGUUUUGAUGCCUUGCUGGCAUAUCUGCAUACCAGUAAAUAUGUGCAGAUUCAUUUCUUGCUUUGAAGCAAUAUUGUUGCUACACUCCUAAAGCGGUGGCAAUGUUCAGGUCUUUUCUGCCUCGCGGGCAAAUCUGCAUACCAGUAAUUAUGUGCAAACUUGGCUCUUCCUGAGAUUAUAGGACUGGGUCCAUUGAAUGUAACAAAAAUAAUCGAUGCCUAUUUACAAAUGAAAUGAAGAGUCUGCAUUUUGGUGCAACUCCAUAUAACUGUUAGGUGAUUUCGCUCUGAACUUGUGACACUCUGAUCGGUCUGAAAUAAUCAUUAUCACGCCCCUCUGGGAAAAAUUUGCAGCCAGAUUGCACCAUUUCCUGUUGACCGUCUGAGAGAUGGCGAUGUCAGGGGUGCAUGACGGUGGUUAAACCUAUUGCGAAUGGGCAGCACAAUUGGGUGUAGGAUAUUCGGAAACCAUUGCACACUCCUGAAUCUGCGGUGGGUUGGUACCCCACGCUACGUAAGGAGUAGGUUGACGGGUAAGCCUUGGUCCACGUGAAUGGGUCGUGCCUUAAAAAUGAUGAGAAGUUGCGAAUUGACGCCCUGUGAAGUGUCCUUCGACCAGCUAGUGCUAAUCCGGUCACUGUCUCCAGGUCACCAUGCCUCGGUCAAUGAGCGGGCGAAGCACCCAAUGGCUCCGUCAGGAGUACAUCGUCAACUUCAGCCCGUAGUCAAACCGGUACAUGCACAAAUAUCUUAGUUGAGAGUGGGGGACAUCAGUAAAGUGCUUCUCAUCGGGGUAAUACAGUACCACUGUAUACAAUGACCCCAUUUUUUGUUGGAUUCAUUUCCACUGAGGAGUGGUCGAUAAUGAGAAUUUCAGGCCAGUCUGAUUAUCACCAGUACAGAGGGCAAUUAUCUAAUAGUUAUGUGGCUUUCCCUCAAACUGUAUACUCUUUCAUGUCAAUUGUAAAUUAGUGUUGCUUGGUAGUGUUCAGGGUCUUUUUGUCGAACAGGCACAUUUGCAUACCAGUAGUUAUGUGCAAACAUCAUUUUUGCUUUGAAGCAAUAUCGUUGCUACACUCCUAAAGCAGUGGCAGUGUUCAGGUCUUGUCUGCCUCGCUGACAUAUCUGCAUACCAGUAGUUAUGUGCAGACUUAGCUCUUUCUUUGGAGCAGUACAGUUGUAAGAUAAAUCCUGUUUGUAAUUUUAUAAAUUAGUUACUCAUCAAGGGCUUACGAAGGUUUUGAUGCCUUGCUGGCAUAUCUGCAUACCAGUAAAUAUGUGCAGAUUCAUUUCUUGCUUUGAAGCAAUAUUGCUGCUACACUCCUAAAGCGGUGGCAAUGUUCAGGUCUUUUCUGCCUCGCGGGCAAAUCUGCAUACCAGUAAUUAUGUGCAGACUUGGCUCUUCCUGAGAUUGUAGGACUGGGUCCAUUGAAUGUAACAAAAAUAAUCGAUGCCUAUUUACAAAUGAAAUGAAGAGUCUGCAUUUUGGUGCAACUCCAUAUAACUGUUAGGUGAUUUCGCUCUGAACUUGUGACACUCUGAUCGGUCUGAAAUAAUCAUUAUCACGCCCCUCUGGGAAAAAUUUGCAGCCAGAUUGCACCAUUUCCUGUUGACCGUCUGAGAGAUGGCGAUGUCAGGGGUGCAUGACGGUGGUUAAACCUAUUGCGAAUGGGCAGCACAAUUGGGUGUAGGAUAUUCGGAAACCAUUGCACACUCCUGAAUCUGCGGUGGGUUGGUACCCCACGCUACGUAAGGAGUAGGUUGACGGGUAAGCCUUGGUCCACGUGAAUGGGUCGUGCCUUAAAAAUGAUGAGAAGUUGCGAAUUGACGCCCUGUGAAGUGUCCUUCGACCAGCUAGUGCUAAUCCGGUCACUGUCUCCAGGUCACCAUGCCUCGGUCAAUGAGCGGGCGAAGCACCCAAUGGCUCCGUCAGGAGUACAUCGUCAACUUCAGCCCGUAGUCAAACCGGUACAUGCACAAAUAUCUUAGUUGAGAGUGGGGGACAUCAGUAAAGUGCUUCUCAUCGGGGUAAUACAGUACCACUGUAUACAAUGACCCCAUUUUUUGUUGGAUUCAUUUCCACUGAGGAGUGGUCGAUAAUGAGAAUUUCAGGCCAGUUUGAUGUCACUAGUCCAGAGGGAAAAUACCUGAUAUUUAUGUGGCAUUCCUUCAAACUGUUUACUCUUUCGUGUCAUUCAUUAAGUAGUAUUGGUCGUUUUACCUCGCAUCUCAUGGGCAGAAAGAACAGUUGGGUGGAGUCCUGAUGCUUCCUGUUGUUGGUCUUUGACUAAAGAUCAUAAUCACUUGGGGUAGUUCUGUGAUUCCUUUUAUCAUGGGCAGGCCCCUUUUCUAAAACCUGUCAUUGUUGUAAAUUUCAAUUAAGAACAAAAUUGUAAAGUAUGCAAGUGUCAUUUUGUUGCUUUAGUGUUUAUGGCUUUGUAUUGUUAGAUUAG
Lineus longissimus is the source of this 6752-nucleotide RNA transcript. It is a transcript of the gene named zinc finger protein 227-like, with no coding region annotated. Lineage: Eukaryota; Metazoa; Nemertea; Pilidiophora; Heteronemertea; Lineidae. The record is from RefSeq and is a predicted model, not a curated record. The transcript is spliced from 9 exons.